This 159-nucleotide ribosomal RNA is filed under the name uncultured bacterium. Its description in RNAcentral is "partial 16S ribosomal RNA". It matches the Rfam family "Bacterial small subunit ribosomal RNA", at positions 355 to 509 of the family's 1533-position model. The record is from RNAcentral.
UGAGGAAUAUUGGUCAAUGGGCGGAAGCCUGAACCAGCCAAGUCGCGUGAGGGAAUAAGGCCCUACGGGUCGUAAACCUCUUUUGCCGGGGAGCAAAGGGCGGGGACGUGUCCCGGCCCGGAGAGUACCCGGNGAAAAAGCAUCGGCUAACUCCGUGCC